This is a long non-coding RNA of Gopherus evgoodei (Goodes thornscrub tortoise), 121 nucleotides long. RefSeq lists it as uncharacterized. The record is from RefSeq and is a predicted model, not a curated record. Lineage: Eukaryota; Metazoa; Chordata; Testudines; Testudinidae. The transcript has 3 exons.
UGGGGUCCCUAGAUUCCUUUGGUUUGUUCAGAGGGUGGAGAGGGAUGGUAGAAGAGAGAUCAGCUGAUCAUUACCUGUUAGUUUCACUCCCUCUGGGGCACCUAGCAUUGGCCACUGUCAG